Molecule: long non-coding RNA, 369 nt
Organism: Neofelis nebulosa (Clouded leopard)
Lineage: Eukaryota; Metazoa; Chordata; Mammalia; Carnivora; Felidae
Exons: 3
Source: RefSeq, a predicted model, not a curated record
AAUCUAAUGCAGGAGGUAUUGUUCAGUAGAUGUCUUUCCGAGCCCUUACAUAUCACUUGUUACCUUGUGUUCUCUUCAAGGGUAAUCUGAAUACAUAAAAUGGAUUCUAACUUUCUGUGGCUGAAUAGCACGAAAACAACUAGAUGAAUUUCCAUCAGAUCCAAGGUUUUCAGAUCUAGAGAGAUACGAUCAUCUCCAAUUCAACUCCUGAUUCAUCUCUGCAUGGCCCACAGCGUGCAGCAGCAUCAUGUAAAAGUUCAAAAUCUGGAUGAACAUCUGAAUAAAAGGGCAGCUGUUUUGUAAGCUUUGGGCCAAUGAAUCCAUGCUUAGCAAUAGCACAAGAGAAAAACAAAGGAGCCUGGGUUCCCA